Non-coding RNA from Oryctolagus cuniculus (rabbit), 16451 nucleotides. The record is from RefSeq and is a predicted model, not a curated record. Lineage: Eukaryota; Metazoa; Chordata; Mammalia; Lagomorpha; Leporidae.
CCAGGGCUGGGGAAAUGCAGGACGGCGAAUUCUGGGCCCUGAACUCCUGGGAAGCCCUGGGGCGCCGCCCUCCCCACCUCCGGGCCCGAAGACGCGCUCUGGAGGAAGGCCCGCCCCUUUCCAUCGGAACUUUGGGAAGGCCUGGUCCUCUCGGUCCAGUCCAACCUCAGGUCUUGCUUCAGCCGGCGUGGUUUACUGUACACAAACCCCACUUGUUUCCUUCUUUUUAUAGUAGUCUUCGAAGCUCAAACUAGUUCCAGGGCGUGUGGGCUCCUGGUUUACUUUCAGUUUAGGAGAUUCGGCCGUUCACACCCGUUUUCCUCUCCUGCUCCGUCCCCUCCCCCGGGCCCGCUUUCCCCUCCGUCUUAGUUACUCGGAGCUAGCAAACUCGCUGUCUUGAUUUGAUUCCUUAAUAUUUAAAAAUCGCUGGUGAAGCGCUAAUGACUUGAACUCCUUACCCCACGCCCGGCGGUAUAAGCCAUAAAUAAAAUAACAGAACAGCCUGCCCAGCGCCGUGCGCUCACGGCCCGCGCAUGCAUGGUGCGCGGCAGAGGCACCCAAACGCCGGUUUGUAAAGGCAGAAGUGUGGCUUAGCAGGGGGAGACGCUAGGAAAAACCAGAAUGAUUGAUAAAAACGUGCUGAGUCUUGUUCCAGGAAGCCUGCGCCUAAGGACGGGUACUAUCGUCAGAAAGGAUGCUAGCCUAGUACAAUUAAUCCGCAUACCCACAGAGGCCGAGUUAGGACUGUGGUGCUGGCCAGUUAACUGCUCCCCUCCGGACUACUGCGAGACCCCAGGCUCCCCUCUGGAUCUCUGAAGAUUUCGGGAGGAGAACACAUUUCUGCUUUGGUCAAGAAUUCGAGCUCUCCAACGUGCGUGAAUACAAAGCACAUUGAUGAGUGGAGGAAAAUGCAAAAGCUGAAGCGUGUUAUUUGGUGGUGCUAAGGGGGAGACACCCACGGGCCGUGUGGCCCUUACUCCCGUGUCCCAGCCAGCACCUCUUCCAAGACGCCCAGAGACACUGAGGAGCCCAAGGGAAUUAGCUUCGGUGGGCACUGCAAGCCGUCCUGAAGGAGCACUCCUAAGGAUGGCAAUCCAGUGCCGGGGCCCCAGGGGGAGAACUUCCCCACGCGGCUGCCUUCGUCUCUCGGUCAUUCCUCCUCAAUCGCCUUUGUCCCUGUUUUCCGGAGCAUCGUUAACUUUUCACCUUUUCACGGGCUCAAAGAGAAGCAACGUGAGAACCACGGCAGCAGUUCCCUUCCUCCAGCAGACAGGUACAGCGGGACCACUGUGUGCGCGGUGCAGCCAUGUGCAACUUCCUAAUCUGUCUCUUAAACCCACCCUACGCGAGGGGCCGUGGGUACUUAAAACUGCAACUAUGCCAGCGUCUAUGUGAUUGUAAAUUUAGUUCAAGAAAGAGAAGGCAGCACUGAAACGCGAAAACGAAUUCCUUUUUUCAGUAUGUUGGAAAUGGAACUUUGUUUUGAAUGUUUUCAUGAAGGAUUUUUGAGGGAGACGCUUGAAGGGUCACUUUGUUUAUAAAUAUAUUCGUGCACGCUAAAAGCAAUCUUUUUUUAAGAAAAAAAAAUCUUGUUCACAUGUAGUCUUAGAGCAAAUAUAAUAUACAUAAGUCUCUUAAUGGCGUGCAUUUCCUUUCUUCCGAAAAUGAACUGAACCAGCCGUUGAUUGAUGUAGAAAAAAAAUAAUAAUGUGACUGGUGGUUGAUUUGGCCACCUUCCUCACGAAUCCGAUGAAAGUUAAAGAGGAACCAGUUUGCGCUUCAGGGAUGAACGGAACUAGCCGCACACACACAGCCACAGGUCGUUUGUAGGCUGAACGCAGAGAUGCAAGGUAACGACCGAGUUACUCUAUAAACAGGAGAAAGGAAGGAGCUACGGCGCGCCCAUCAGAGGCCUCCUGUCCGCGCUCAACUCUGGGUUAAUGAUUGGGUCGCAGAAACACUGUUGGUGCUGAUUUCAAGGGACCAACGAUAGCCUUUCUGAUCUCUGCCUCACUUUUAAUUACCUUCUGCUGUGGACAGCGCGAUUUCUAAGAGUGUGUCUCCGCGAGGUAGGCGACUCUUCAACCCGCAGCAGGCGCCUCACUCUUCGGGGUUAGCUUCGGCACGGGAGACCCGGUUGUAGCGAAGGCCCAGCGGGCGGACUCUGGCAGAGCGCGGCGGGGAGGAGCGCGUGGAUCGAUCGCGGGGAGGCGGAGGGCGGCCGGCCGGCGCGCGUCGGCCAAUAGGCGUGCACACCGCCUGACGACCAUCCAAUCAGAGGGCACGGAGCUCGGAGGCCCGAGCGGAUAAUACUAGGGAGGGGCGCGGCGGCGGCUGGAGACUGCGGCGAGUGGCACUGCGCUGCACGCAGCCGCUCCCGCCCGCCCGCCUGCCCUAGGAGCCGGUCAUCUGAGCUAGGCCCGGCACCUUCCCGGCCCGGCUUGGGUCAGAGGAAGCCGAAAGUGACCUCAGAAGCACGCGAGGCUGCAGAGGACCAGUUUCACCUUUGAAGAGCUCGGGAUGUGUGUGGGGCUAGGUCACUGAGAACUUAAGUCGCCUACUCCCCGCCCUUCUCACCCCUUAAGUCCCCUGUACAGCUGCCCGCCCCCAAUUUCGUGACCGGAGUGGCGAACUGGGUUUCCGUUUGCCUUUGCUGCUAGCAGCCUGACAGCCAGAUCCCAAAGCUGGAUAUCCUUUGACGCGGCUGCUCGCCGGGGCUGCAAAGUCUUGACUGCGGUCCUAGAUCGCGAGCCGGAGCCAGGCAUUGCGCACUAUGGCCGACCGACAGGCAGGCCCGGCCGCUGGAGACUGGGAGAUCGACGUGGAGAGCCUGGAGCUGGAGGAGGACGGCUGCGGGGGGCCUCCGUCCACGCCGCCCGGACCCAGCCCGCCGCCGGCCGACGGCGAGGACGACGAAGAGGAAGACGACGCGGAGGAAGACGCGGAGGAAGAGGGCUAUGGCGAGGAGGCGGGCACGCCGCAGGAGGUGCCGGGCCGGCCGGAGUCGCAGGGAAGACAGCUGCCCAGGCCUGCGCCGGCGCCGCCGGCCUUGCCCGCCGCAGCCGGGGCCUCGGAGCGCGCCGCGAACGCGGGGGGCGUCGCGGAGCCGCGCAAGCUGAGCCGCACGCCCAAGUGCGCGCGCUGCCGCAACCACGGCGUGGUGUCGUGCCUCAAGGGCCACAAGCGCUUCUGCCGCUGGCGCGACUGCCAGUGCGCCAACUGCCUGCUGGUGGUGGAGCGGCAGCGUGUCAUGGCCGCCCAGGUGGCGCUCCGGAGGCAGCAGGCCACCGAGGACAAAAAGGGGCUUUCUGGGAAACAGAAUAAUUUCGAGCGCAAGGCCGUGUACCAGAGGCAAGUCAGGGCGCCCAGCUUGUUGGCCAAAAGCAUUUUGGAAGUUCUCCUUGGAUUAUUCUACAACUGUAGCAAUGUGUACAUAAUGAGCCAUCUUUAGAAAAUAAGUGACAUCAGAUCUAGUUGCUGAAACCUGCAGAUGUUUAUCCCAGCUCCUUGAUUCUUACAACUUUUACGAAAGUGCAAGCAAUCGGAUUGUCUGUGUGUGAGAAGAAAAGUUCUAUGACUUUAAAACAGAAAUCUUGGAGUGAACAUCUUUAACAGAAAGGAGGCAUAGAAAAUAGUUCCUCAGAGCCUCUUUACUGGAAACCAAGCACAUACUUAAAUAACAAAAUUAAUAUUGAAGUACACGAAAAGUCUUCCUCAAUCUUAAGGGCCGAGUGACACUGAGGGCCCUGCCAGUGAGUAUCUGAAGGAAGGGGAGAAAGAAGAGGAAGAGGAGGAAGUGGAGGAGAUCGCCCUCCUAGACCCAAGAGAGGAAGCAGCCAGGCCCCUGCAGGCCCAGGAAGACCUCCUUCCCACAGCAGGCAGGCCUUUGGAGGGACAUCUCCGUCCCUGCCAUUGGGUGGAUUCCCCCAUGGAGGAGGCCCAGGGCAACACUGGCAAUGAAGAACCUGGAUCAAGUUGUGUCCUGCUGUCUGGGCCCAGUAAUGUUGAGGGUGAGGCCACCCAGUGAAGGAGACCAGCAGCCAGGGGAAGGGAAGGAAAAAGAAGAGAAGCAGAUCAGAUCUCCUCUUCCUGGGAACAAACCAGCUGGAACCCUGGAGACCAGGAAGACCUCCUUCCCAUGCAGGUGCCUCUGGCCUUUGGAAGGGAAACCUGCAGCCUUGCUACUCCAUGGACAGCCAGAGAAAGGAGGCCCAGUGUUGUCCCGGAAGUGGCCACCCCAGUGACUAUGAGGGGCCCAGAAUAAGUCGUCAGCACCUUCCUGAGCCCACAGAGACUGAAGAACCGAAGGGAGAUGGCAGAGCAAGAGGAGAAAACCAGCCCCUCUCCCUUUGAAGAAAAACCGUCUAGACUGUUGGCUGCCCAGGGAGACUGCGCUCCCUCCCUGGCAUAGCAGGCCUGGCUGGGCCUAUCCAGGAAAGCCUCCAGGUCUGCAGUGCAGUGCCUGCUGGUCCUGUGGCCACACAGCCUCACUGCAGGGACCCUGCCUCAGGCACAGCCCCUUCUGCAGCUUGGCAGUGCUGCCAAAGCCAGCUGCAGGCUGUCUCUCGCUGCCCUAAGAGGGAAUGCCAGGAGCCCCUCUCUCAAGGCCUAUGGACAGAAGGCCAGACCAUGCAGGCAGCAAACUUCACAGAUGGUCCAUCUGACAAUAGCACUGUGCCACCUGCCUCUGCUGGUCUUCAGUUGAGCCUGGGGCCCACAGGGAUGCCUCUUACUCUGUCACUUCUGACACCUGCAGGACUCCUCUCCUGUGUCACUCAUGUUCUGACCACAGGGAAAUAAGAGAUAUGAUCCUCUGUCCUGUAAAACUGUACAGGUCUUGGCAAGAUUGAAAUUAGAGCACUGAGUAUUAACAGAUAUCUGGCAUAGGAUGAAAACUGAGGUACACAUCAGGUGAAACUUCUGGGAGGAUAAGACUGAAGAACUCCUAAUUACCCAAUUGUCCGUUUUAGUUUAAACAAGAGCCCCUUUGCUUUGUGAAAAUUAGAGACACCUGUAGUUACACAGCCGGAAUCAAGGACUAUCAAAGCUCAUGCAGCCAGGCAGAGUUACAGAAGGAGAGGGGGAUAGCGUGAAAGAGUGAGAAAGCAAUAUUCCAUCCACUGGUUCAUUCUCCAAAUGGCCACAGUAGCCAGGGCUAGGCCAUGCCAAAGUCAGGAGCCUGGAACUCCAUCGGAGUCUCCCAUCCGGGGGGCAGGGGCAAAGUGGACAGUGAGAGAGACAGACAGAGAGAAAGAUCUUCCUUUUGCCGUUGGUUCACCCUCCAAUGGCCACUGCGGUUGGCGGGCUGUGGCCGGCACACCGCUGUGGCCGGCGCACCGCACUGAUCCAAAGGCAGCAGCCAGGAAAAUCCUGGAUCCUUUACUAUCAGCAAAUGAAGCAGCCAAGAAGGUGGGCCUGCUCAGUGUGGCAUCUCCUCAAGGUAGGAAUCCUUUCUGAAGCAGUCCUGACCCAGACCUGUAAUAUCCACUCCAACAUUCUCAAUACUUGGGGAAUGAGUAUUUAUACAUGGUUCAUACAUGCACUAAACUAGGAACAUUUGCACCCUUCAUCUAAAAUUUUUAUCUGCUGGUUCUACCCCAUAGAAGACACAGAACAAAUCUUUGCUUCACAAGAGUGUCCCUUCUAUUGGACAGGCCUCUGAACUUACUGGCUUCUACAGUGAAUUUUCACUUGUAGUCAUUUCUGUAUGCUGUUCUCGGUUUUUGUCCUAUUCCCAUGGGUGAUCAAGAGCUUGACCAUGUGGCACACGCCAUCUGAACAGGGUACUUGGGAUGUGCCCAAGUCAUUGCAGGCUGCCUUGGGACCUGUGUUCAUCUGCCUCUUCUAACAUGAGCCCAGAUUGCUUUAAAUGUGUUAGAUUUUUAAAGUUGCUAUGCCUUUCACAUGGUUCACGUAGUUUGUGGUCCAGCAUUGGCCAAGGUCUCUUUCACACAGGGUCAGAUCAACCCAAGCCUCUUGUUUCAGGAAAAUUGUCUUCACUUCAUUCACUUUAAAAAUGGGUGUGUUGACUAGGCCUGAAUACUGGGUCCUCUGUGAAAGGUUUUAAUGUGAAAUUUGUAUAAUCAAGAGGAAACAGUGUCAUUGAUCAUUUCAUUUGUAAGUCUGUCUUGAGAAAUAAUAAAUACGGUAUUGAUUUUCAAGAAGUGUAUCAUUCAUAUGGAAGGCAAAGAUCAAGAAUUGGCAAUUGAUGAAUAGUAUGAGGAAGUGACAAAUUAUGUUCAGCAGACCAAAAGAGCUUGUCAAAGCAAAAUUAGGGCAGUGGUGUUGGAAGACAUAAAAUAAGGCUUUGUGGAGAUGUUGGGACGUGCCCUGGUACCUAAACAUUGAUAUAGAUGAGACUAGUGAAGACUGUUGGGGUGAAUUUUGUUGGUGAGAGAAAUGGUGUGAGUAAAAACCCAGUGGAAGAAAUGUCUGCUGUUGUAAAUGUGGUAGAGGUGGUCUCGGUUUUAGGGUGAAAGGUAUCUUUGAGGAGUACAGAAGGAUAGGUGGGGGCAGUUAUAGGUGGUCUUGCUAUCUAGGCAGAGGAAUUUAGCCAUGAGAUUGUAGGCCUUGGGGAAAGUAUGAAAUGACAGGAGCACUGCUGAAUGAAGUCUAACCUGGAAGUGGUCUUCAGGGUAGUUAAUAGGGGUGGGAGAUGGAGGCAGGGAGUACAGCUUGAAGGUAACGAGGAGGUAAUGAGUGACAGGACUGAAGGAGCAUUUUGAAGGAGAAAAGACAGGGUUUAUUUGACUGCAUGGAAGUGAGGAAGAAGGAUUAGGUAAAUAUGAUUUCUAGUUUCACACCUGGUUGAUGUGGAUUGUGGAUCCAUAGAGCUGAAGGAGGAAAUGCUCUGGAUAAAUAAUUGUGAUUUUUCUUUGGGCCAUAUGGGGUGCUGUUAUUGAUAUGGGGUCAACCUCCCAAUAAUGUGGCCCUAUAAAGCACAUGUAGUUAGGAGAUGCGUAAACUGGUGAUGAGAAAGAAGAGUAUCAGCUUGAUAAUAACUUGAGAGUGUGCUUGUCUCCUCUUCCUGUAAUGCCCUGGUGUUGAGCCUUGAGUGAGCAGGCAGGUGUGUGCCUGGCACCAGUGCUUCAGAGUCAGAUCUGUUUUCAAGCUUCAGCACUGCCACUUACUAGCUAUGUGACCUGGGCAAUCAGUGUAACCUCCCUGAGCCUCAGUGUAAUCAUCUGUAAAGUGACCAAUAAAUUAGCCUCCCAAAGAGACUAGGAUCAAAUAAAACCAUGUACUGUCAUUCACCAGGAUACAGAUAAUGGCACAUAGUACUCCACACGGCACAGAUCCUGUCACAGUUGUUGUCUCGGCUACCUGGCUGCUCACAGUGACUGCUGUCUACUCAUCAAUGGGUUUGGGACUCUGAGGACUUGGGGCUUCAGGACUGAAGUUGUUCAGAGUGUGGGGUCUCACUGAUAAACUUUUCAUCACUCUGGAGCUGUUGAGCAGAGAUAAAAGCAUUCACCCUUCCUGAGAGCCUGGUUGGAGAAAGACACCCUCUCAGCAGGGAUCUAGAGUGUUUUCUUUAAGAAGCCCCCCGGAGUGCCUGUGUGCCUCCCUGACCUGCAUGAAAGGUCUUCCUUUGUCCAGCUGCCAUAACACAGUCAUUACCAGCUGUCCCUUCACUCAGCAACUGUCUCUGAACUCUGACAGUGAUGACCUAGUGCACAGCACUAGGACAUUUCUACAGACACCCCAGAUCCAGCACAAACAGGGAUUUGAAAUAGGCCACCAUGAAAGGGGCUCAGGAUGCAUUUCAGAAGCUUGUAGGUCACUUGACAUUGGCCGUGAUAAUACUGCAUUGGAAAAAAGAGGCCAGCUGUUUCACAGGCUGCUGUGUUAAAAAAUUGUGCAUAUGAACAAGCUGGGUUUGGAUAAGCCUGUGUAUGGCAGUGUGAGAGAGGGCAGCCACGCCCAUUCUGAUGCAAAAAACUCUGGGAAACAGGAAUGGAGACUACUGGCAGCUUUUGAAGGAGCCAGAAUCCUUAGCCUUGGGCUUGGGAAGCUGUUUACACUUAGUGAAAUUGUUUUUCCUGAGUGAAGUACGAGGUGUCAACUCUUGAUGGUGGAGCACCCCAGGACUAUGAGGUGUGAAGGACGUCCAUCAUUUGUCAGCCUUCAUGUCAACUUCUUAGGGAAUGAUGUGACCUGGUCGAUGUUCUGUCAGGUCCCCCAGUUCAUUGAGUGCAAGUUCUGCUUUCUACUCUUCAGGACAAAUAACUCAGGCCGUAAGGCACUAGGCUUCAGGCUGGCACCCAGAAAAUCCCAACCGCUACAGAAAACACUGACAUUCCCAUUUCUUGUUCAGUGAGUACAGUAGUCCUUUUGUGGAUUUAGUUUUGAUUGUGGGUAGCAUUUUGAAAAGUAGAUUUGCAUCAAUAACUAUUUUAUAAAUUUUUUUAUUUUUUUUAAGAUUUUAUUUAUUUGAGAGGUAGAGUUACAGUGAGAGGGAGAAACAGAGAGAAAGGUCUUCCGUCUGUUGGUUCACUCCCCAGAGGCCUCAACGGUCAGAGCUACACCGAUCCAAAGCCAGGAGCGGGGUGCUGCUUCUUGGUCUUCCACGCAGGCUGGGGGCCCAGGGACUUGGGCUGUCUUCUACUGCUUUCCCAGGCCACAGCAGAGAGCUGGAUUGGAAGAGGAGCAGCCAGAACUAGAACCGGCGCCCAUUGGGAUGCCAGCACCGCAGACAGAGGAUUAACCUAUUGCGCCACAACGCCGGCCCCAUAUAAAUUUUUUUUUCUGAAAGAAUUUAUUAAGCAAGCCCAAAGAGGGAAGGGAGCUGGGGGAGGGUGUGGAAGGAAAGAAGGUAAGAAUCAGGGACCUGAACAUGUGCUUUUCAGCUGCCCUGGGCUGCCUGGAGCAACUCGCUCCUGUGGGAAGGGAAGCUCUGCAGAUUGCAGUGAGGAUUGGAGAGAUUUAUGCCUUGCACACUGAAUACAUAUCCAUGACUCUCCACGGCACAAUUUAGAAAAGGUGGUUAUGUGUCUGACAUGAAGGAAUAUUUUAUAUGAAAUUGCUGAAAGAUCUCUGGGCACUAAGCAAUAAUCACCUUAAUGCUUGAGAAAGUGUUCCAAUUUGUUUCCCAGGGGCUUCUUGGCAGUUGGGAUUUGCAUGCUGUUCAGCAUCCAUUCUUGGGCAUUCUCCAUGCCACCACACUGAGCACAGGGACUCCCCUUGAAGGAAAAUGCACUGCAGUCUAGGGACAAGUCUCAGUAGCUUUCAAAAUGUGCAAAGACUUGGAAUCUGCAAUUCUACUUCUUGAGAUAUUUCAAAGAAAAUAAAUCAGAAAGAGGAUGUCAUUGAAAAGAUGCCUGUUCACAGGGAAAGGCAAGACACUGUGGCAAAAAAUGAUCUAAAUGAAAGAUCUCAUGAGUGAGAUCCCAGUGGAAAGAAGGGGCCAUCAAAGAAGGAGGUACCUUUCUCUGAAGGGAGGAGAGAACUUCCACUUUGACUAUGGCCUUGUCUAAAUAAGGUUGGAGUUUGUGAACUCAAAAGGGUUCCAUAGCCUUGGCAGCACAUGACAAGAGCCUUGGCUGAUUACUGAUGUCAUACAUAAGAGUGUCAGUUUUUAAAUCAACAACAUGAGUCACUGUGCACUUUCUCCCGAUGUAGGAUCUCUGUCCUUAAUGUGUUGUACUAUGCGAAUUAACGGUAAAACUAGUACUCAAACAGUACUUUAUACUUUGUUUGUCUGUGUGGGUGCAAUCUGUUGAAAUCUUUACUCUGUGUAGAGUUGAUCUUCUGUAUAUAAAGAUAAUUAAAAAUGAACCUUAAUUAAGAAUGGGAUGGGAGAGGGAGUGGGAGAUGGGAUGGUUUGAGGGUGGGAGGGUGGUUAUGGGGGGAAAACUGCUAGAAUCCAAAAAUUGUACUUUUGAAAUUUGUAUUUAUUAAAUAAAAGUUUUUAAAAAAAAAGAUGCCUGUUCAGAGCAUUUUUAUCUUACUCUGGUAUCUUCCAGAAUAUAAUGUCUUGGAAAUGUAUGUACAGACACAUUUUUACAAAUAAAAGUGGGAAACAACUUAAAUGUGCCAAAGUUGGGGAUUUGGUGUUUUAAAAACCACUAUAGAAUGUUAUGGUUUACCAAGGCAGAAAAAUAUUUAUCUAGUUUGACUUUCAAAAAAAUAAAUAAAUAAAUAUUCAGAGUCACAGAGGCAGUGGGAGGGAAUAGAGCGAGAUCUUCCACCUUAUGGUUCACUCUGCAGAUGCCUGCAAUGGCUAGGACUGGGCCAGGCCAAAGCCAGGAGCUUCAUCUAGGUCUCCCACAUGGGUGGCAGGAGCCCAGUUGCUUGGGCCAUCUUCUGCUGCUUUUCCCAGGCUGUAAGCAGGGAGCUAGAUCAAAAGUGGAGUAGCUGGGAUUUGAACCAGUGCCCAUGUGGGAUGCUCGUGUGGCAGGCAGUGGUACCUGUUAUGCCACAAUGCUGCCUCUAGCAGAAAAAUAUAUUUUUGGUGAAUGAAUGAAUACAAAAAAUUUGUAGCAAAUGGUUUACUUUGGUAUAAAAAUAGUGGAAUUCAUACAGUUUUUGUCAUAAAUGUAUUUUCUAUGAAAUUUCUGAAGGCCACUCAUAUGCAUGGAUUUUAAUUUUUUUGCCAAAGUGAACAUCUUCUAAUUCUACUUUCCCUGAACUUUUUGAAGUACUGUUGUGUAUUAGAAAGGAUUCUUGAAGGAUGUAUACAAAUAUGAAAAAGUUGGUUAUCCUUAGGAGGUUAGAAUAUGAGUGACUUUCUAAAACAUUAGCCCUCCUGUAUUUGCUGUAAUAAACAUGGAUUAUAUGUAUUGCAAAAGGAGUCUUGCCCUUAUCUUCUGUCGUCCUUGGUGCAUCUGGGUUACUGCCCUGAACCCUGAGACUCUAUUUAUUUGACCUGCAUGGAGGGUCCAGCAGAAUCAAUUCUGUCAUGGCCCUGUGGUGUAAGACACAGCCUCCUGUGCUAAAUGGAACUGCCUGAAGUAGGGUUGGACUUCAAAGAACACGUUAGUCAGUGCCUCUUAAAUUCUGUUUAUUGAUGUCUUUCAUCUAAUGAUCUUGGGCUAUUGUUUUGGAUUUAUUGGGAGAAUGUGGACUACUUCACCAUUGCUGCAAAUGACACUUUCUUACCUGCAACCAAGGGUACCAGUUGGCUGUCUUCUUCUCUGUUGGUCUCUUUCUCUGUCUUUUAAAGAUUUAUUUAUUUAUUUGAAAGUCAGAGUUAAACAGAGAAAGAGAGGCAGAGAGGUGGCACAGAAAGUUAAUUUUGACAUUGUAUGGGUGAUAUCUAAAAUCAGCCUCUUUGAAAUUUUGCGAGUACACUGUAGAUCUGUGGAACAGUUGUGUGCAGGGGAGAUAAGAUUUACUGGGGCUCAUUUUACAUUGAUAAGUCUAUGUCUCACUGUAGAGUUAAGAUUGCAACUCAGCCUUUUCAAAGUCGUCCACCAUGAACAGACCUAACAUGAAAAGGGAAGAGAUACUACCUCUCCCAGGGCUACCAGUUUUUUAGUCUGUUUUUUAAAGGAGAACCUUCUUUUCUCUUGGAAUAAAUAGUUAAAGGAGUUUAAGCAGAAAUCUAAGUAUUUUAUCUUUACCUAAUCCCAUGAAUAUUUGAAAUAACUGGACAGAGUGCUCAGCUUAGAAAGAGAUCGUUUAGUUGACCUUAUAGUUUUAUAGAUGAGAAAACAGAGAUGAGAAGGAUUAAGGGGCUUUUCAAGGUCCCAGAGAGAGGUGCUGAUUAGACCCUGGAGCUCUCGUGUGCUGCUCUUCCCCUACUGGCUGGUGUCAUCUGAGAACAGUUUUCCAUCCACUUGGCUAUCAUCCCAUCUCAUCCUCAUCCCAGGUCAGCUAUUCUUGGGUGGAAAGUAGUUAAGAAAUCUUUCCACGUGGAUUCAGCAGAAAGUGCAAGAAGAGUCACUCUAUUUUCAGAUGGCAAAACAAGCAUGAAUCUAAAUUCCUGUUUCUUUCAUUAGAUUCAUGCCUAUGUUGAAUCCUGAAUGGAUGGUUCAAAAUGGAAACUCACUACAUAUGGCCAGGAAAGUGUUUGGUGUUCUCCAGAUCCUUUGGAAAUCACCAAGUGAGAAGACAUAAGGGCUACAAAAAAGUGACUCACCUACCCUCUGAAAAGUGGGAAGGUGAAUCAGCAUACCUUUGUGUGUGUGUGUGUGUAUGAGAGAGAGAGAGAGACAGAGACAGAGACAGAGACAGAGAUUGAUUGAGAGAGUAAGAGACAUGUCCAAAUGGCUGCAAAGGCCAGGGCUGGGCCAGGCUGAAGCCAGGAGCCAGGAACUUCCUCCAGUUGUGCAGGGGCCCAUGCAGUUGGGCUGUCUUUUGCUGCUUUCCCAGGCUCAUUAGCAAGGAAUUGGCUUGGAAGUGGAGCAGCUAGAACUCAAAUCAGAGCCUACAUGAGAUGUUAGUGUUGCAGGCAGUGCCUUACCCCAUGAUGCCACAAUGCUGGCUGCAGGAUUCUUUUUUAGCUGAAUUAUUCCCUUACACCCUGUCUUGAUAUCAGGAUUGGUUAAAAUUCUCAGCUGUGUCAUUUACUAAUUAUGUGGCAUUAGGAAAAUUCUCUGACACCUGUAAGCCUCAGUUUCUUUAAACAGAAGGGAAACAUCUACUUUGAAAGGUUGUGAGACAAACUCAUAUAAGCCACCUUGCAUAUAACCUGGAUAAAUAAAUAUGAACUAUUGCUUUUGCUGUUAUUGACAGUUCUAGAGUAAGAUGAUGACAUACGUUAUGCAAAAAGCUGUCAAAUAAUUUUUAAAACACUGGAAAUCACUGAGGUGGUUUAUUACCCAACAGUGUACAUCUUUGAGAGAUUUUGAGGUAUUGAGCCUUCUCUCAGUUCUAGUUAGAGUAGAGAGAGUAUUUUAUAAGAUUUUGCUAAGAAUUCUGUGUGGUGUUACAAUGCCCAUUUUAUGAUGAGGAAGCUGAAACUUUUAGGAGUUUACUACCAGAUAGCACAUUGGCUAGCAAAGCAUAUAUCAUCAAUUUUAAUUUGAUAAUACCUGGGCUGGUGGUAUAGUGUAGUGGGUAAAGUCUCCACCUGUGAUGCUGGCAUCCUUUGUGGGCUCCUGUUCGAGACCUGGUUGCUCCACUUCCAAUCCAGCUCUCUGCUAAUGCUCCUGGGAAAGUAGUGGAGGAUGGCCCAAGUGCUUGGGCUCAUGUACUCAUAUUUGAGAUCUGAAAGAAGUCCCUGGCUUCUGGCUUUGGUCUGGCCCAGCCCCAGCCAUUGUGGAUAUUUGGGGAAUGAACCAGAGGGUAGAAGAUUUCUCUCUCUCUCUCUCUCUCUCUCUCUCUCUCUCUCUCUCUUUGUCUAUAUAACUCUGACUUUCAAAUAAAUAAAUAAAUCUUAAAAAAUUUGAUAGUACCCUAAGUACCUCUUAUGCCACCUGCUUAAAUAUCUCUGUGAUACCAAAAACAGAAGCCCCAAUAAUCCCCCUUGAUAUUUAAAAUAUUUAUUUUGGUGGACAUCAAGAAAUCAUGAAGUAGAUUCAUUUGUUUAAUAGAAUGUAAUUCCAUUGAGUUUUUUAAAAAAAUUUAUUUACUUAUUUAAAAGAAUUACAGAGAGGGAAAGAGAGAGAUCUUCCAUCCACUGGUUCACUACCCAAAUGGCCAAAGUGGCUAGGGCUGAUCUAGGCCAAAGCCAGGAACCAGGAGCUUCUUCUGGGUCUCCCACGUGGGUAUAGGGGCCCAAGGACUUGGGCCAUCCUCUGCUGCCAUCCCAGGAGCACUAGCAGGGAGCUGGUUUGGAAUUAAGGCAGCUGGGACUUAAACUAAUACCCAUAUGAUGAUGCUGGUGCUGUAGAUGGUGGCUUAACCCACUGCGACACAGCGUCAGCCCCUCCACUGAAUUUUUAAAAGCCCCUUCCCCCCCUUUUUGGCAGCAUUAGGAAUCCUUUACAUUGAUUUGAGAGUGUUGAAGAUUCAUAAGUCUUUGGUUUAUGUAUUUUACAGCAUUUACAAGUAAGAUGCAAAUUAUAUGCAAAUGAAUGAGUUACAGAGAAAAUGAGUUACAGAGAAAAUCCAUUAUCAAAAUCUCAUUUUUUGUUAUGAUGCUUUACCAUCAAUGUAAUAGAAUGUGGGAGGGAUUUUUGACAUCAGGAAAGCAUAUUCUAAGUUACCUUUUGGGUUGCAUUCACGGUAAAUAGCUUUGUGAUGACUGUCCUGAGGAGCUCUACUUUCUCUUUUAAUGAUGACCUCACCUCCCUAAUCCACAUUUUACAAAUAACUUUCCUCUUCCCAUCUCUACCUCUUAAGAUUUACGUUUGUUUUCCCCAAAAAUUAGUAUUAUAUAAAAGCCCUGAUUAGUCUUAAAGACAUUUUCAACAUGAGGUUUUCUCCCUUUGGAGAUGGAUUGUUUUUAAAUUUGUUCUGCAUCCUGGUAUUCUUGUUACAUUGUAGGAAACAGCUGUAUUCUCUGUUAGCCAGACAUAAAGAAUUCCUUUGCAAAGGACCAGAGAUAGAGAGAAAGAAAGAAAAAAGGAAAAGACAAGAGAAGAGUGAUGAAGAAUGAGACCAAGAGAGACAGAUGUGGAGGAAAGAUGCAGUGAGAGAGAGGUGGAGAAAGAGACAGAGAAGGAAUGAGAGAGAAGGAAUGAUGGGAAGAGAACUGUAAAGAUGGGGAUAGUGGGGAGUGAGAAAGGAGAGAGAUAUGGAAAUCAGAGAGAGAAGAAAAAAAAAAAAGAGAAAGCAAGACCCCUAACUCCUCGUGAGCCCAGCAGGAAGCUGGCAGGAAAGAAUUUGAAGCCAGAGGGACAUAUUAUCCAGAACCAGGAGUUAAACUUAAUUGUAAGCAGACCCUGCCUACCCCCUUCAGAUGAGUGAUGGGCUUUUGACAUGUGACUUGGCUUGGCAGUCUCCACCCCCUGUCCGGGCUGCCAUAAGGAGAUACGUAAUGUCUAGAGUGAUGGGAAAGUCAUGCCUGCAGAUGGUACACAUGGAGCUGCCUCAUAAAAUGACUCACUGUGAAUCCUCACUGAAAUAUCUGCUGUAAAAAUGAUAAUGGAAAAAGCACAAGAAAGGCUGAAUGGGCUUGAAAGAAAUUUGUUCCAGCUUUUGUAGCUCCCCUUCAAAUUUUGAAAAAGACCCUACUAGAAAAUGCCAGGAAAGUAAUGUAUCUUCUCUCUGCUAGAGCCCUCCUCUGCCACUGACCCCCAACAUCAGUAUGUCAGUGAGCAUGGCAAGGGAGGAAGAGGUAGGGGUGGGAAUUAUUUGUUAAGCAGAAGGGCUGAUGCCAAGGAGAAGGUUCUUUCAGAAGAAAGGGAGUGGCAUUUUGGGGAGUGAGGAGGUGGACUCUCACUGAGCGGGGGAAGUGGUGUUUUGUUUGCCUUUGGGGUAGGAUAUUGCCAUGUGGGGGUGCUUCCUAGAGAGUGAGGUCAAGACCUGGGUAAAGGCGUCAUACAGAAGAGUUAGUCAUACAGACCUCUGUUGCAAGUUGAGGAAGCUUUUAGGUUUAAACAUCAUGGAAUUCUAAAAGUAGCUAUUAUUAGCUCCUUUAAAGUCACUGAGGACCAUACUGCUUCUACAUACGAUCCCAAAUAUAGCUCAGUUUGGCAGACACAGGAUCUUCCAGAAAUUAGAGAUACUAUUUAAUGGCAAAUCUUAUGGCUACCAUCUCUUUUUGCCCCUCCUGGAAGAACUGGGAAUGCUCUAGGUACUAGCUGGAGCAGGGUUAAAGGAUGGAUGGGGCAGAUGUGAUGGCAUCCUAAGUCCCGAGAGUACUUGGAAGCUGGUGGUCAGGGUAAAAUUGGGCUUCAGUACAGUGGAAGAGCCCCGAGUGUGGUACAUCUGCUGUACAAAUGGGGGGGCUUCAUGGUGAUUCAGGAGCAGGGUGGACAUGAACAGUUGCAGGUCAUAAGUGGUCCAGAUAAACAGUGAAGCCAUGAAUGUCUUGCUAAGGUCUGAGUAUGCAGAGAUCUCCAUGCAGUGUCCAGGAUAGAGCAGAGCCCAAUGCCUAGCGUAUGUGGCAUGGCUGGCACAUCUGAUGGCAUGCAGACACUAAGAAUAACUGCACAUUUCAGAGUUGGCUUAGGUAGAGGAUAGGGAAGCUGGUUGGUGGGAUAGGGUGGCAGCAAGGACAUGGUGGUAGGUGUGAGUUUGGGAGUUUGCAAGAAACAGAAUAUAAUUCAGAUGGUUCAUGAGGCGAUGAAAGGAUAUCCUGGAAAGAUGUGUACAGAAUUCAGGGAGCCAAGAAGGGAUGGUAGGUACUCAAGGGCUAGCAGCCACUGGGAGCUGUUGCUACAGUAGGUCUGAGGGAGGAAGCAGAGCAUGGUGUAUCUGCACCCCAGUGAAAGUAGAAGCUGUUGAAGACAGUCUGCCUGGCCAGUGGUGUGAUCUUGGUGCUGGGGAAGGGAUAGCUACUGUUAGACAAAGGACCACAUGAAGCAUGGGGUGGGGAAGAAGUGCCCUGACCUCUUGACUUUCCUUCCCUCCCAUUUUCUCCUGGUGUUCUCCCCUCCCCGCCACCCUCCCCCCUCAAA